This 58-nucleotide transfer RNA is filed under the name Trabulsiella odontotermitis. Its description in RNAcentral is "tRNA-Asp". It matches the Rfam family "tRNA", at positions 9 to 63 of the family's 71-position model. Rfam says of the family: Transfer RNA (tRNA) molecules are approximately 80 nucleotides in length. Their secondary structure includes four short double-helical elements and three loops (D, anti-codon, and T loops). Lineage: Bacteria; Pseudomonadati; Pseudomonadota; Gammaproteobacteria; Enterobacterales; Enterobacteriaceae. The record is from RNAcentral.
GGCUCAGUCGGUUAGAAUACCUGCCUGUCACGCAGGGGGUCGCGGGUUCGAGUCCCGU